GCUGACCACAGUCUGGGCUAGCGCCAACUGCGCGGGGGGGGAGGGGGGAGGAAUAUCCCUGCUCCCAAAGUCCUGAGGAGAAGAGGAAGAGUGGUGGAUUGUUGCAGCACAAGUUCUUGCUCUUGGUGAAAAAAUAUCUCUUCUCUGGAAAUUCAUUUCCAUUUACUUAAAGUUAAAUGGUUUGACUUUGAAUUUUCAUUAUCUGCUGUUGGAAGGAGCCUGUGACAGGUAUGAGAGAGAAUGCUACAAAGCUUCAUUGUAUCAUCAAAUUUUUGCUUCACUUUAGUCAGAUAUCAUUUAGGUAGAGAGAAAAUACUAUACGUAGAACAGGAUAAGAUAGAACAAAACAGAACAGAAAUAAAAUAAAAUGAAAAUAGGAUAUAUAAUGAAUUACAGUAGAAAAAUGCCUUUAUCUUGAAGUGAUUUUUUUUUAAGUUAUCCUGAUUCCUCACUAGUGAGAAAAUUGAACUAAUUUUAUAUAAAAGGAAUAUGUCAUAACAGGAUAUGGCAUUUAUCUUCCUGAGAUAGGGGUGACCUCAUCAUUCACAAGUGCCGUAGCUAUGAAUGAGUAAUCAGCCUCCCCACCCAUUAAGUGUAGAUAAAGUCCACAUCUUCUGCCUAAGUAUUAAAUAUUCGAUUUAUUAUUUUACAACUCGCCAUCUCUACAAGUGUCCACUGACUGUUGCUUUAGUCGCUGCUACCAAUAGGUAUUGUCAGUGUGAAGCAAAAGAAGCUCCUUAAAAGGUGCCCUGCAUAAUAGUGAAUGGAAGAUGAGAAGGGAAAUGAAAAUAACAGAGAAGAAAACAACAGAAGAUGGAACUGGAGGAAAAAAAUUAGGGGCAGAAGAGGGAUAAGGAAACUCUUUAACCGACCUAUACUUUUGUUGCCUGUUAUAUUCCAAGAGUUUUAUAACAUACAUGCAGUGAAAAUAUUUUUCAUAUUAAUACCUCAUAUAUAUCAGCUAUCUCCCAUCUCAAGUUAUAUUGCUAAAGUUAUUCUCAAAGGAAUUUAUAUAUGUAUAAUGUGAGAGAAAUAUAUAGUUAGGAAAGAAUUCCUUUUUACUAUUUAUCAACAGUGCACAUUAGAGAAGAGCUGCAGUUAAAAAAAUACAGUUUCUUUCUAGAACUAUAUAAGAUAACAUAAUUUUCUCCUUCAAAUGAUGUCACAUGCUGCAUUUUGUUUUCAUUCCUUUGUAAAAGCAAUGAGAGCAGUUUAAAGAAAAUAUUUGGAGUUUAAUUUUAAAUCCAAAAGAACUGGCUGUUCAUCUGUUUAGAAGAAAAACCUCUAAAUAGAACAUGAAGUCAGGAAAAAGACCAUCAAAACUUAAAUAGGAAGUACUCAAAUAUUUUCCAUCUUCACAAUUCUUUGACAUGUACUCGGGGCUGGAAGAGCAGAUGAGGGAAAUGCCUUUUCUGAAAGGUUGCACUGGGAAUGAAGGGCAAGAUUAAGGUAGCCCCCCUCCCCCCUGUAUUCAGAAGAAAAGCAAGCAGAGAGUAAGAUAGAAGGAAAGUGCCUGGGGAAAGUAGCAUCACUAUCGAAAUCAUAAAAGAUGUAUAAGGACAUCAGUGGAAGAACUAGAAAAACUAUUAGAAGAAUGCCCUACAGGGCUAUCCCAAUGGCUCAGCGAUUAGCACACUGCGCUGCCGCUGGGAAAAAGCAGCCAAGGUUUGAGGCUAAUCUUAGGAUCUCGCUCAUUGGUACUGGCAGCUGAGAGCCGUAUGAGGAUGGCGAGUCCACAGCAGAGAAAUGCCGAUACAUUGCUCACAUGCCCAGAGGUACGUACCUAGGCUCAGGUUUGACCACUGAAGUUGCCUCAGGACGGAGGAUCGGGUUUUCUCUACCAUCAGCUAGCCCAAUUCACUCUCCACGUGCAAGCAAAGGAGCACCUCUGGCCUACUGUGUAAUAACAAAGGACGGCUAAUUUUCCAAGGCUGGAACAUCAGUAUUAAAGUCAAUUUCUCUCGUGUUGCAUACUUUGCUGUGGCCCCACAUUUUAGUGAAUGUGUUAUCUCUUAGCACCAGAGGUUUCCUGCAGUGGUGAACCCCCACAAAUUUUCUAGCAGCUCCAGCAGAAGAUCAAGGGGCAGCCAGCUAGUUUCUCCAGACUCUACCCACUUCUGCAGAGAGUGUGUAACCUGUAAUGUUCCUUCAGGCAGUUUUAGCACCUGUGUAUCCAUUUCCCUUCUCAUCGAGGCCGGUGUUAUGCCUGCAAAGUAGAGUAAUCUGCUACUUUGUUGGCAUCAAAUUGGGGUCAUGGAGACCACAACUAAAUCGUGCUGCUUCAACCUCCACAAAAACCUGAUUCAUACCACACAGCCUGAUAAGAAGCUUAAUUCAAGAAAGCAGAAAACUGAAUCAUGUAGAUGCUUUUUAUCUCCAGGGCUUCUAAGAGAUACCAGCAUAUUAUCCUGUGUUCUCACCACAUUCAGAUUUUUGGUCCUGCUCAUCCAUAAGAUAAGUGAAACUUUUAAAGGACAUGGGGCUAGUCAACCCACUUUUUCAUUUUAUUUAUUUAUUUACAUUUAUCUUUAGCCUCUCUCAGUGUUCCUAAACCAAAAUAAUUUGUGGAAGCAGCUGUUGGUGUGUCCUGGAAAGAUAGUAUCAAUAAGCAGCUCAAGGUUUUUGUCUCUGCUUAGAGGAGGAUUCUUAUCCUUUCCCUCACUAGUCAUUCCCUCCUAACUCAGAAGAAACAGAAACCUAACAUGCUCUUUUUCUCCUAAUUCUUUAUUUUCAUGAAUGAAUCCAAGUUAAUUGUACAUACAGCAAAAAAGCAUUGAGCUUUCACUCUUUCAGAGAAGCCUAGUACAGUCCAAUAUAUCCUUUCUUCUUCGGUAGCUACCAUCAGUGCUCUGCUGAGUCAUACAGCAGCGAACAUGAAACAAGAAUAUUCACAAGACUACUCAUACCUGUGUUUCCUUACUUACCACCCAGGUUGUAAGUCCCAAUCGGCACCAAAACCAACAGCAUAUAAGUGAGUGCUGGGGUCCCUCAGCAGCAGAGGUUCUAAGCAUCCAGUGCAGUUUAAAGCUCUGCUAGGUCCUUAAAGCCAUGCUUCUCCACAGUUGCGGGGUUUUUUUUGUUUGGUUGAUUGGUUGUUUUUUUUUUUCUGAUUUGUAACAGCAGCAUUAUUUUUCAACUCACUGAAGAAGACAAUGCAUCAUGUUCCUGCGUAGCAUGGUCCCAGGUGAAGAAGAGUCCAUGAGUGGGAAUAAUGCAGAAAUAAUUUGACUUUUGAGAGACUGCAAGCUUCAAACCUAUUGUUACAAGAGAUGAUGCUUGAUCAUACUGUCUUCCUUCUACUUAUAAGUCCUGAUAUCUGUAAUAGACUGUGUACAUACAUUCAUAUGGUGCUGCUUGGUUAGGAGAACACACACAGCUUGAGUUAAAUUAAUUAUUUUAUAGAGUUUAAAUACCUACUGUCUUCACUGUUAGUUAGGAAGAUCUUUACCAACUGAAAGAAUAUCCCUUAAUAUAGUCUUCAGGGAAAACAAGCAUUUAGGGAAAAAAAAAAAAAAAACCAACAAAACAAAACCAAGCCAAAAACAACCAACCAAACAAAAAACCCCAACAAAAAGCCAAACAUACCAUAUACAUCCAAAACAUGUUAACCUGAAUGUACCUUUAUAGUUACCAAACAAUAUUUCUUCAGGUAUGGACUGAAUUUUGAUAUUGAACAUUUUAACAUACACACCUUAUCCCAUAAUCUAAAAAAUAACGUAUUUUGCAAGCAGAUACCUAGUGAUUUAUUAUUAGAUUCAGUUAUGAUGCUGCAGGAAUAUAAAAUUAAUACUAACCUUUCAAAAGAGUUCUAGGGUUGAAUCCUCACUAUCAUAUAGAGAAACUAGAAUUUAAUUCUCAUUAACUUUGCUUAGAGUCAGGGCGGGGCAGGGGCAAACAGUAUCUUUGAAAGUUAAACCACUGGUUUUCAUACAUGAAUAUUCAGAAAUCUAGUCACCCCAAAAUAGAGACCACUGUCUGAGACACAGUCCAUGUUUGGAAAGCAAAACUGAGGAUUUCCCAAGGCUUCACGCAGUGAGAAAAGAGGCUGUGGAGCAGAAGAUGCGUCAAUGCCUUUUUCUACCAAUAAGUACUAAAGUUAAUGUGAGUGUGAAUCUAUAUUUCUUUGUUCAGAAUUACUGUAAAUGUCCUCUUGUGGAGAAAUUGCUCAGUCUAAAGAUAAUUAUAGUUACACAGUCAUUCAGGUGAAUUAGUGCAGGGAAACGAAGAAGGCUCACCUCAUCGCUAAUGGACACAAGUGGAAUGCAGUGACUGACUCUAAACACUGUCUGUUCUGAAGUGUCCUAGCCUGGAUACCAGCAAUAGUAUCUGCUUGGAUAGCAGAUGUGUGUGCCCUGCUCACAGCUAAUUAUUUCUGACGAGUGACAGUAUGAUGGUGAUUAAAAAUAUAUAUUAAUAUAUAUGGUAUAUUAGACCUAUAAAUACAUCUUGCCUGAUUUAUUUGGUCUGAGCUCAUCUAUAAAUUGUCUGGCUUCUGAAGGAAAAUGGCAAAAUUGUCUUGCAUGUAGAGGAAUAGAUUUCAAGUUAAAUCAGUGGUUGUAACAAAAAAACCUAAAGGAAUGACAAAAUCUGAAGAGUUCAAACAAGGCAAAUUUUAAUACAUAAAUAUCAGAGGGCAUGUGUAUGUCUCGAAUGGAUACCAAACCUGAGAUCUGGAUGGGUGGAAGACAAAAAAAAAAAAAAAAAAAAAAAAACGAUUCAGAUUAUACUUUCCAUCUGGGAGACCAAGAAGAGCAUUCUAGUACAGCGUAGUGGUUGGAACUGCACCACACCUUAUUCAGUCAUAAAUUUGAGUAAUAACUGAGUUGUAGUCUAUUUCAAACAAGCAAAAGCAAAAAUGCUCAUCUCCCCCCGAUUAUAUCCAUUAUCAGUUUAAUUUUUUAGUUUAUUUUUUUAGGAAACUACAGAAUUCUUCCAAACAAAACUGACCAGACAAACCCCUCCUCCACUCCCUGCCCUCUAAAAUCAAAACAAAAAAUCCCCAACACCACACCACACAUAACAAAGCAUCACCAAAAAAAAAAAAACAAAAAACCAAAAAAAAACCCCACCAAACAUAAAUAAGUAUUUUGAGUAUAUCAUAUUGGACUUUUACUUGCAUGAAGGACAAGGAGAAGUGCUGAUCCAUUUGUUACUAAAAAUGUCAUUCUGGAUUUUUCAUCUUUUCCACACUCCCCCCAAAAGAGUUUAUAAAAGGGUACUAGAAAAAAAAGCCUGAAAAAUACUUCUUUCUUUCAUAUGAAAUAAUAUUCAGUACUGCUUAUCUGGAGUCAAGAAACUACAUUCACGAGAAACAAGUCUUCACUUAAAUAUAUUGAGGUUUGUUCUUGUCUUUAUGAAGUGUUUGAACAUUUGGUCUCGAAAGUAUGAUAGUGGAAUCAGUGGUCUGAUACUAUUAAGAAUUAGUAUGAAAGUGAAUAGAGAAUAAUUUUUAAUAGUGUUUCAUUAAAUCAAUGGGCCAACAUUUUCAGGACUGAGUCUCAUUGAAGUUGUGGAAAUUAAUUUUUGAUUUCAAGCCAUUAAAGUUAAAGGGAACAGGCUACAGAAAGUUAACCCCACACAGCGCAAUUGCAUUCAAUACAGCCUCAUCUUGUGGAGAAAAAAAAAAAAAAAAGACACUAUUAAG
This is a long non-coding RNA of Tyto alba (common barn owl), 5644 nucleotides long. RefSeq lists it as uncharacterized. The transcript is spliced from 3 exons. The record is from RefSeq and is a predicted model, not a curated record. NCBI's taxonomy places the organism in Eukaryota, Metazoa, Chordata, Aves, Strigiformes, Tytonidae.